UGCGCCAAUGUGCUCAAGCUUGUGGACCUAAAAUUGGGAAACCCACCUGUGAAGCCAUGCUGCUCUCUCAUCCAAGGCUUGGCUGACCUUGAGGCUGCUGUCUGCCUCUGCACUGUGCUCAAGGCUAACGUUCUUGGAAUCAACCUUAACCUUCCUAUCGAUCUCAGCGUUCUCCUCAAUGUUUGCAGUAGAAAAGCUCCAAAGAACUUCCAGUGCGCCUAAGUGAAAAAACUUAUGGCAUACCUACAUACAUUUGAUGAAGUCUCGAACUUAUAUUCUUUUCCUCAUGUUUUACUUUAAGGUGAUCUAUUUUUUUGUAUUUUUCUUGACUUUUUAAAAAUGAACGUACGUUUUCAUGUAAUAAUGGAUACUGCAUGGGUUUGUCCUGUCUGUGCAUGUAAUCGGCAAAUUUGUACUCCUUUACUUCAUUGUUCCUUUAUAUCCUCUUUGCAACUGUAUUCUUCGAAUUUUACUUAUAAAUUCAUUUCUCACUAUGAUUAAAUUUUAACUUAACAAUUAAAAAUCCCCACUGAACACCAAAUUAUAUUUUCACCAAAACACUACAAUAUUAAUUCAAGGCUCUUCGAAAGAGUCCGCUCCGGUUUUCUACCAUUGUCAACUCCGUGUGGUGGCCCUCUGGGGAGAAGUCCACUCUGAAACACUUCGGUGUGUUUCUACCGCGACUGACCGGAUCAGUCGAUAGGAUUUAUAUAUAAAAAAAAAUUCAUAAUCAAUGUCAAUUUUUAACAAGUAAGCUGAUCAUUGUUUUCAUAUACUAUUUUAGGAGUCAUUUGUCUUUCAAUAUAGAAAUUUCAAAACAAAUGACUUUCUAACUAUUUAUCUAGAAUAAAUUUCAUUAUGAAAUUAAGUUUUUCUCAGUAUGAUCUAUCAAUUUCACGCAAUAAAAAUUUCACUUGUAAUCGAUCCGAUAAACAUUGGGUCAGCAAAAUUUUGGUUUGAUUUCUGGUAGCAUGUGUCAAGCUAUAUGAAAAUGAAUGGAUUUCCGACUCAAAAACAAUUGACAGUCAGUAAAUUAACUGUAUAUUUCCCUAUAUAUUACAUUAGGUUUUUUAUAUUUUUUCCUUUACUUUCAAUCUUGAUUUGAUUAACCUGCUGAGAUAUUGAAAAGAACAUACUUUUUUCUUUUCUUUUUUUAACUUAAAAAAAAAAUCUGAUCCAAUAAGAAUUAAAAGAACACCACUAGUUGAAUAUACGAUUUGAAGAUAAUUCAUAUUUUAUUGUUGUAUAUGUAAAAUUUAAAGUUUACUCUUUAAGGUUUAGGGUUUAAAAUUGUAACAAGUUUGAAUUAUGAUUUUUUUAAAGAAUAUAAUGAAGUGUGAAGCGUGUUUUUUUGGUAACAUAUAAUAUUCUAUGAAAACCUAAACAUUAUGGCUAUUUGGUAUACAGUACUAUUGCUUAUGUGAAUAAAAUCUUUGCACAUCCCAAAAGUCUCGGGUCAACUUUCAAAAAGAAAAAUAUACAGCAAAAUUUCAACUUUGUAUUCACUUAAUUAUUGUUUAGAAAUUAUGAUCAUUGAUUUUAUUAAUUCCAGUAAUACAGAAGUAUGUUUUUAUUCCUUUUUCUAAAAGAAAAUGUAUAAUAGUUACUUUUGAUGUGUUAACCACCUAUAGUCUCCUAUCAAUUUCUUUAAUUCAUUCUUCACGUCUUUAUAGAUAUACUAUGUAAUUAAUAAAAGAAAAUUUCAUUAUUGUAAAAAAAAAAAGGAAUAGAUUUUGGCAUGAUGAUUAUCACGAAACUAUAUAUAUGUUAUUUAUUUAGCAAAGUGAUAAAAUAGUAUGAUCUCGCAUAUACAUCUUAUUCGAUAUAACUCAUAUAGACGUAUUAUCCGAAAGAUAAAAUAACAAAUUUUUUUUUCAUAUUGAACAUUACUUUCCUUUUAAAUUUGGAGUAAAGUAUUAUUUUGACGAAUUUGGAUUUUUUUUUUUCACACUAUCAAAUUGAACUUUGAUGUCAUAUUUGUGCUAAACCAUCUAAUAAAGUCUAACGCUGAGACUACCAAUACAAAUAUCACAUGUCGUCAAAACAAAUUCCAAACAAGUCCCAUCUGUUCUUCAAAUUAUACGGAAUGAUUUCAUAAGUCCAACCAUUUGAGACUACUAAAUACAAUUAUAACAUGGUAAUGAAGUAAUAAACUUUGUCUUCGUUUGAGAUAUUAUCUGUAAGCUAAAUGAUGUUUUAGAAACAAUCCAAACUAGUCUAUCUGCUCAAUCUAGUAAUAAUAGAAGUGUGUAUGUAUUCUUAUUAGAACUUGCACAUGUUUUGAAAUAAUACAUAACCAAAUGUAUGAUGAUGUCUAAGGCUUUUAGAUGGUAAUUAUAUUCUCAUUGAAAAAUAACCAGAAAGAAAAAGAAAAUAUUAUUUUUAUAUGCUUUUAAUAAAAUAUAAAAUAGAUAAAUAUUUUUUAUACUUUUAAUAAUAAUCGUGAAGGCUCGAAAAUAGAUCGAUAUAAUUUGAAAACUUGGGAGUUUUCUGGUUAAUUAGUUUAGAAGAUCGACUUCAACCACCAAAUUUCUUUUAUGGAUACACAAAUUAGAACAAUAUACUCAUUACCAGCUAAUUUGACCAAUGAGAAUUAAGAGUUCUUUAAUAAUCAAAUCAUAUCUAUAAAAAAUGAGUCAACUAAUCCCUUAUUGAGACAAAUUAUCAAUUAAACCUUUACAUUUCUCUCUUAUUGAAAAUUCUAUAAAUAGACGCUAAAGCUUAACAUAUCUCUCCACCCAUCUCAAACAAACUUAAAAGCACUACUACUUCUUGAGCCUUUUAAACUGCACAAACAAAUGGCUCCAAGAAUCUCCCUUGCACUCUUCCUUUCCCUCAACCUCCUCUUCUUCACUUACACCUCUGCGACCACCCCGAGCAGAAGGACUUGUCCUAAAGAUUCCCUACAACUCGGUGUUUGCGCCAAUGUACUCAAGCUAGUGGACCUAACAUUGGGAAACCCACCAGUAAAGCCAUGCUGCUCUCUCAUCCAAGGCUUGGCUGACCUUGAGGCUGCUGUCUGCCUCUGCACUGUGCUCAAGGCUAACGUUCUUGGAAUCAACCUUAACCUUCCCAUUGAUCUAAGCGUUCUCCUCAAUGUUUGCAGUAGAAAAGCUCCAAAGAACUUCCAGUGCGCGUAAGUGAAAAAACUUAUGGCAUA
This 3160-nucleotide long non-coding RNA is filed under the name Capsella rubella. RNAcentral describes it as "long non-coding RNA (CRUB_LNC002368)". The record is from RNAcentral. Lineage: Eukaryota; Viridiplantae; Streptophyta; Magnoliopsida; Brassicales; Brassicaceae.